Long non-coding RNA from Branchiostoma belcheri (Belcher's lancelet), 679 nucleotides. RefSeq lists it as uncharacterized. The record is from RefSeq and is a predicted model, not a curated record. Lineage: Eukaryota; Metazoa; Chordata; Leptocardii; Amphioxiformes; Branchiostomatidae. The transcript has 4 exons.
UGGUAAAGGGGGUUUGGUAGUAGUCUGCUACCUCAGAUCCAUGGUAAGUGCAGUUAGUUAUAAGAUCGGCUGACAAGGAACCGUAGCAAAGCAGGCGAGUAAGAAUAUUCUCCAGAAAUAAAAAUGGCCACCGGGACACGCUUAGGACCUUGUUGGUGCGCCGUUUUCUAGUGUUUCUGGCUGUUUGCAGUUCUGUCCAGCAUUUGGAAGUGGGUCAACUGGCGCCUGGGGCAAGAGAACAUCUGAGAAAGGUUGUCGCCCCGGUCCGAGCCUAGUACCUGACGAGAACGCUGUGACACAUGCGAUGGAGCUGGUUGGACAACGCAGUGUGCGAACUGUCGGACGCCUGCACUGGAGGGACACAUAGUACUUACCGCCAUGACGCCCUGUUCCAACAACAAGGGUAGAACACCUUUCCUGAUCGGACUAUUCAUGGGGAGUCAUCCUCUGUAGUCUUGUAUUCAGUUCAAUCUACUUCUACCUGGGAGAACUCAGAACACAGCCGCUGUACGUGUGGCACACUGCGUGGAGUAAGAGACUGUUAUCGUGGCAAACAGACGUCCAGACUACGACCGUCCCGAGCACCACCGCCUGGCCUGUUAGACCGCCCGGCCCGGUACACCCUGCACCGUUCAACGGUACCCACCCGCUCAGUGGAUACGUCAACGUGGUGAAAAAU